Molecule: long non-coding RNA, 1061 nt
Organism: Haemorhous mexicanus (house finch)
Lineage: Eukaryota; Metazoa; Chordata; Aves; Passeriformes; Fringillidae
Exons: 2
Source: RefSeq, a predicted model, not a curated record
CGGACCGGCCCCGCCGUGCCAGGGGCUGAGGGAGGCGCGGAGCGGCCUCGGCUGUCGGGGUAGGGCCGUGUGCAAGCCGACGGGUCUCUGGUCCUGCUCGCCCUUAGCCCCCGGCUGCAGGAACCGAGGGGCUCCUGCCGGCGAGAGCCGCCGCCGCUUUCUGCAACCACGCCGAGCUCGUGCAGAACAUCCACGAGCCUGAGCGAUGCCCAAACCCCGGAAAGACUGUGGCGAUGGGUUUUGAGUUUUCCAUAGCCCGGUGUGAGUAGGAAGGACUCCCGAUACUCCUGGUAGGAGUUAGGAAGAAAUUCUUUACUGUGAGGAUGGUGAGGCACUGGGACAGGUGCCGAGAGUUGUGGAUGUCCAUCCUUGGAAGUCUUCCAGGUCAAGUUGGAUAGGGCUUUAAGCAAAAUUUUGUGGAUAGUGUCUCUGUGGCAGGAGUGUUGGAAAUGAUCUAAGGUCCCUUCCUACCCAAACCAUCCUGUGACUCUACACAGGGUGGUUGGCGCGUUCUGGGACGUGCUCCUGGCCUGAGCAACCGCCCUGCCCAAGCUAAGGCUGCAAUCAACCAACACCCACACCUGGAAAAUGGGGACGUGUUAAUAACCAGCACAAAUCCUGCUCUAAUGCUGCCACGCCUGACUUCCUGCAUCACACACCUGAGUCCCAUGUACUGGUGUCACCUGAACGCCAGGAAGCUGAACUGAGGUAAGGCAGCAGAUGCAGUGUUUCAGUAAGCUCAAACCCCUGGCUGGACAGCUGAAGGAGGCCUUAGGAGCAGCACCUUUAACUGAGAGAUGGAAGAGUGGGAUCUGCACCAGCUGUGAUUCUAGAAUUUAGCAAUGCCACCUACUGUCUCCAAUAUGAAUUGCAACAUAACCGCUGGGGUUUAUCUGUGCCUCAGAACACCACUGUUAUGCACCUGACUGUGAAAAUCAGAUUUAUCAGCUCCUGAACAGCGUUUUCCAGAAGUGAAGCGUAGCUGCCAUAAUUCACCUAAAGCUCCAUCGCUCCUUGUAACAAUAAGUUGAUUGAGUUUCUAAUAAACGCACCACUGCUCA